This is a non-coding RNA of Pelobates cultripes (western spadefoot toad), 247 nucleotides long. Lineage: Eukaryota; Metazoa; Chordata; Amphibia; Anura; Pelobatidae. The record is from the annotation of a GenBank genome assembly.
UGUGACUCUAGUUUGUCUUUUAUAUACGUAAAUACCAGUGUAUAUGUUGGCAAAACAAUACAAAACAUCAAAGAAACAUCAGUCAACCAUUGGAACCCAGAUAUUAGAUCCUUCUGUCCCUAUACACUUUGCUAAAGCUUGACAUAAGAUAUUUAUGGUUAAAAUUCCAAAUCACCGACCAUGUUUCCAAGCUAAUACGAGUAGGCACCAGACUUAAAGUAUCGAAACAAGAGCAGCUAACUUGGAU